GGACAGUAUGCAUUUAAUGGAAAUCAAACACUUUUGCUUUUAGAGAGUUUCAAAUAUUACUUGGCAAGACAAAAAGCAAGCAAAUCUCCAUCAUCUUCCUUAGUUUUAAUUUUCUCUGCAGCUUCUCCUGUCUCCAUGUUAUUCAGAAAACUAUCAUUGGUCCCAAUUCCAUGGAGAGACCACCACGCCCAUAAAGCAAACAACUUCUCCAAAACCAAAGAAACACAGUAUUAUCACACUCACGCUACCUUCAGAUACGUUCUCCUAAUCUUCCUUUCUUCCUGGUUUCUUACUGCUUGCUUUUUCUUUUCUUCUACUUACAGUCGCAACGAUCACCUGCAUUUCCCCAAUACAGCAACGAAAGAAUUGUUGCCAAUUACCUGUCCAAGUAAUCUCUCAAUCUUUGUAUAUCAACUGCCACCGGAGUUCAACUUGGGUCUCCUCCGCGACUGCACCCACCUCAACGUUUACACUAACAUGUGUCCCCAUGUCGCCAACCACGGCCUUGGUCAACCGAUGUCCUCUGCCGGCUCCUGGUUCGCCACCCACCAGUUUCUUGCCGAGAUGAUAUUCCACGCCCGUGUUGAGAACCACCCAUGUCGCACUUGGGAUCCCGCCCUAGCCAAUCUCUUCUACGUCCCAUUUUAUGGUGGUCUUCAUGCGUCCAGCAAGUUCCGCGAAGCCAAUCACACGGCACGCGAUGAAUUAGCCGUUCGAUUAGUGGAGUACCUGCAAACGCGGCCAUGGUGGCAGAAGCAUCAAGGGAAGGACCAUUUUUUAGCCCUGGGGAGAACUGCAUGGGAUUUCAUGAGGACCACCAAUGGUGAGCCUGACUUCGGAGCCAACUGCCUCCUUAAUCUCCCACCUGUCAAAAACAUGUCGGUGUUGACCGUAGAGAGGCAUCCAUGGCAAGGACUCAAUCAAUACGGUUUGCCGUAUCCUUCCUAUUUCCACCCAUCCAAUGUCGUUCAGAUGCGUACGUGGCAGCAGAAAAUGAUUCGAUCAGAGAGGACCCACCUUUUCUCCUUCAUUGGACGACCACGGAAGGGGGUGCAGAAAGCCGCCGUGCGAGACGAGUUAAUAAGGCAAUGUAACGAGUCAACUCGGUGCAACCUCCUGAUAUGUGGCAGCGGUGGCGGUAAAUGCCAUGAACCUUUCGAGGUGCUUAAAGUGUUAAGCCAGUCUCAUUUUUGCUUACAAGCGCCAGGAGACUCGUUCACGAGACGAUCAACGUUCGACUCUGUGCUGGCGGGUUGCAUACCGGUGUUUUUCUCUCCACACACGGCGUACACCCAGUACGGAUGGUAUUUACCGGUGAAUGGUAGUGCGUAUUCGGUUUAUAUAGAUUUAGAUGGGAGUGAGAUGGAGAAAGGAAAAGGGAAGAAGAGUAUAGAGGAAGAGCUAUCGAAGAUAUCAAGCGAUAGAGUGGGGAGAAUGCGUAGAAAAAUAAUAGAGAUGAUGCCAAGAAUAACGUAUGCCCAUCCGAAUUCUAGCGAUGUUGGAUUUGCAGACGCUGUUGAUGUUGCGCUUGAAGCACUCCUCAAGAAUGCUCGCUCCAAAUUAGGACUUGUAUGAACAUUUGUGAUGAAAAUACUGCGAAAUAACGUAUUGUAUUUAGGUGGUUGGGAUGUUAAUCAUUUACUCUGCAAGGUUGAUUAAUUUUUUGUAAUAUAAUUGACCGAUUGAAACUCAAAUUUUAUUAAUAAAAAAU
Molecule: unclassified non-coding RNA, 1711 nt
Filed under: Hevea brasiliensis (rubber tree)
Lineage: Eukaryota; Viridiplantae; Streptophyta; Magnoliopsida; Malpighiales; Euphorbiaceae
Source: RNAcentral